AUGUCCAACUCCAACAGGACGUACGUGCGUCAAGAAACAAGAUUCCCUUUGACAACUGACAAGAAACAAAGAAUGAAUGAAAGAAACAAGACUUGUGUCCGGCAUUGCACCGCUGGGCACUUUCAUGCUGCACCCAGGAAAGAACAAGAAACAAUUAGACACGGCCGGGCAAGGUGGUGCCACAGAACGGGACGUCCCGUAACGUUGGAGUUGGACACACACAACUUCAUCAUCAACAGCAAGGACACCACCACCCCUCCCUUCUCCGGGGAAGCUUUCCUUUCCUCCACGAUUCCAUGUUGA
Molecule: ribosomal RNA, 303 nt
Filed under: Triticum aestivum (bread wheat)
Lineage: Eukaryota; Viridiplantae; Streptophyta; Magnoliopsida; Poales; Poaceae
Description: partial small subunit ribosomal RNA
Source: RNAcentral